RNAcentral lists this ribosomal RNA (240 nucleotides) under uncultured Bifidobacterium sp. RNAcentral describes it as "partial 16S ribosomal RNA". The stretch from base 1 to 201 matches the Rfam family "Bacterial small subunit ribosomal RNA", at positions 338 to 539 of the family's 1533-position model. Lineage: Bacteria; Bacillati; Actinomycetota; Actinomycetes; Bifidobacteriales; Bifidobacteriaceae. The record is from RNAcentral.
CCUACGGGAGGCAGCAGUGGGGAAUAUUGCACAAUGGGCGCAAGCCUGAUGCAGCGACGCCGCGUGCGGGAUGGAGGCCUUCGGGUUGUAAACCGCUUUUGUUCAAGGGCAAGGCACGGUUUUUGGCCGUGUUGAGUGGAUUGUUCGAAUAAGCACCGGCUAACUACGUGCCAGCAGCCGCGGUAAUACGUAGGUGCCAGCAGCCGCGGUAAUACGUAGGUGCCAGCAGCCGCGGUAAUA